RNAcentral lists this ribosomal RNA (460 nucleotides) under uncultured bacterium. RNAcentral's name for it is "partial 16S ribosomal RNA". It matches the Rfam family "Bacterial small subunit ribosomal RNA", at positions 338 to 795 of the family's 1533-position model. The record is from RNAcentral.
CCUACGGGAGGCAGCAGUGAGGAAUAUUGGUCAAUGGGCGCGAGCCUGAACCAGCCAAGUCGCGUGAGGGAUGAAGGUUCUAUGGAUCGUAAACCUCUUUUAUAAGGGAAUAAAGUGUGGGACGUGUCGUAUUUUGUAUGUACCUUAUGAAUAAGGAUCGGCUAACUCCGUGCCAGCAGCCGCGGUAAUACGGAGGAUCCGAGCGUUAUCCGGAUUUAUUGGGUUUAAAGGGUGCGUAGGUGGCUUUUUAAGUCAGCGGUGAAAGUCUGUGGCUCAACCGUAGAAUUGCCGUUGAAACUGGGAGUCUUGAGUAUAUUAGAGGCAGGCGGAAUGCGUGGUGUAGCGGUGAAAUGCUUAGAUAUCACGCAGAACCCCGAUUGCGAAGGCAGCCCACCAGGCCAUGACUGACGCUGAUGCACGAAAGCGUGGGGAUCAAACAGGAUUAGAUACCCCGGUAGUC